RNAcentral lists this ribosomal RNA (423 nucleotides) under uncultured bacterium. Its description in RNAcentral is "bacterial SSU rRNA". It matches the Rfam family "Bacterial small subunit ribosomal RNA", at positions 207 to 622 of the family's 1533-position model. The record is from RNAcentral.
AAGACCUUGCACUUUUGGAGCGGCCGAUGUCUGAUUAGCUAGUUGGUGGGGUAAUGGCCUACCAAAGCUUCGAUCAGUAGCUGGUCUGAGAGGACGGCCAGCCACACUGGGACUGAGACACGGCCCAGACUCCUACGGGAGGCAGCAGUGGGGAAUUUUGGACAAUGGGGGCAACCCUGAUCCAGCCAUGCCGCGUGAGUGAAGAAGGCCUUCGGGUUGUAAAGCUCUUUCAGCCGGAACGAAACGGUUACGGUUAAUACCCGUGACUACUGACGGUACCGGAAGAAGAAGCACCGGCUAACUACGUGCCAGCAGCCGCGGUAAUACGUAGGGUGCGAGCGUUAAUCGGAAUUACUGGGCGUAAAGCGUGCGCAGGUGGUUUUGUAAGUCAGAUGUGAAAGCCCCGGGCUCAACCUGGGAACU